RNAcentral lists this long non-coding RNA (737 nucleotides) under Vigna radiata. RNAcentral's name for it is "long non-coding RNA (VRAD_LNC015817)". The record is from RNAcentral. Lineage: Eukaryota; Viridiplantae; Streptophyta; Magnoliopsida; Fabales; Fabaceae.
CCUAAGUUGCUAAGAAUAUGCGCCCAGCGUCAAAAAUAUGGCGCCCAGCGUGAUUUCUCACUAUUGCUAGAAUGGGUUGCUGCACAGGUCACGCCCAAUGCAACUAAAUGAGCGCACAACGCCAUUUCUGUAGAAAAAUUGAAUUUUGAAUUGGGUUUUCUGCACAGUGUUGGCCCACUUACAUUUUCCUUCCCAAAACCCUAGCAUCUCACUUAGACGCCUUACAUCUCUCUCUCGCAACUUCUCUGUCAUUCACGACCACCACACUCUCCCUUCUUACCACCAAGUUCUCUCAUCUCUUCCACCACAACCACCGUAACCCCCAUUCCCUAUUCCUCUGCCCAAUCGAUGACCACCACCACACCGUGACCUCCAUUACCGUCCAUCAACGUUGCCACCCAAGUCGCAACUUCUAAACCCAUUUCUUCCUUUCCAAUCCUUUUCCCCCUCUUAAAACCCCCAACUAUAACCCCUCCCCACGGCCUUUCUCCAUCCCUCUCCACCGUCACCAAACCAACACCGUUCCUAACAACUUCGUCACUUUACCCAACCCCAAUUCCACUUCCUCUCACGGCCCCAAACCCUAACACUCACGGGAUCCCAUUUACUGUGGCCAAUUGCCUUACUCACGGUCCUCUCACAUCUAUAAGCGAGUAACUUCCUUUUUCCUCUCCAACUCAAGAAUGGCUUCUUCCUCUAAUCCUAAGAGAAUCAAGACCAUUGGUCACAAGCUGGAC